CGCAGGGAGGAGGAGAUUUGCAUGAGGAGCCCCUUGCAGAGCAUAAGAGCCGCCCAGAGGCCACCUGCCCAGCUGCGGGCUCAGAGGCUGAACCUGGGGUGUCUCCGCCAUGGCUUGGACCCCUCUCCUGCUCCCCCUGCUCACUCUCUGCACAGGCUCUGUGGCCUCCUAUGAGCUGACCCAGUCGGGCUCUUUGUCAGUGGCCCCGGGAGGGAGGGCCAGCAUCACCUGCACUGGAGAUUUCCUGGAUAAAAAAUAUACUUCCUGGCACCAGCAGAAGCCCGGCCAGGCCCCUGUGGCGGUCAUUUACAAGGAUAGCGAGCGGCCCUCAGGGAUCCCUGCCCGAUUCUCAGGCUCCAGCUCCGGGAAGACACACACCCUGACCAUCAGCGGGGUCCUGGCCGAGGACGAGGCUGACUAUUACUGUCAGUCAUGGGACAGCAGUGGUAAUGCUCACAGUGACACAGGCAGAUGGGGAAGUGGGACAAAAACCUGUCCCCAUCUGGGUCACACGCUCCGCAAGCCCCAGGAGGACUGUAGGUCUCCCAGCCCAUCUGAGCUCAUGAAGCCCAAGGACCUGGCAGCCUGGGUUCUGAACAACCAAACCCGAGCUGUGGGCACUGAGGAGUCCCCCCAGGUCCCUGCUCAGGGCUGA
This is a non-coding RNA of Myotis daubentonii (Daubenton's bat), 655 nucleotides long. The record is from the annotation of a RefSeq genome assembly. Lineage: Eukaryota; Metazoa; Chordata; Mammalia; Chiroptera; Vespertilionidae.